Molecule: ribosomal RNA, 253 nt
Filed under: uncultured bacterium
Lineage: Bacteria
Description: partial 16S ribosomal RNA
Rfam family: Bacterial small subunit ribosomal RNA
Source: RNAcentral
UACAGAGGUGGCAAGCGUUGUUCGGAAUUACUGGGCGUAAAGGGCGCGUAGGCGGCUCGACAAGUCCCGCGUGAAAGCCCCCGGCUCAACUGGGGAACUGCGCGGGAAACUGUCGGACUUGAGUUCGGGAGAGGGAAGCGGAAUUCCGGGUGUAGCGGUGAAAUGCGUAGAUAUCCGGAGGAACACCGGUGGCGAAGGCGGCUUCCUGGACCGACACUGACGCUGAGGCGCGAAAGCUAGGGUAGCAAACAGG